Molecule: ribosomal RNA, 450 nt
Filed under: uncultured bacterium
Lineage: Bacteria
Description: bacterial SSU rRNA
Rfam family: Bacterial small subunit ribosomal RNA
Source: RNAcentral
GUGGGGAAUAUUGGACAAUGGGCGAAAGCCUGAUCCAGCCAUGCCGCGUGUGUGAAGAAGGUCUUCGGAUUGUAAAGCACUUUAAGUUGGGAGGAAGGGUAGUAACCUAAUACGUUGCUACUUUGACGUUACCGACAGAAUAAGCACCGGCUAACUUCGUGCCAGCAGCCGCGGUAAUACGAAGGGUGCAAGCGUUAAUCGGAAUUACUGGGCGUAAAGCGCGCGUAGGUGGUUCAGUAAGUUGGAAGUGAAAUCCCCGGGCUCAACCUGGGAACUGCUUUCAAAACUGCUGAGCUAGAGUACGGUAGAGGGUGGUGGAAUUUCCUGUGUAGCGGUGAAAUGCGUAGAUAUAGGAAGGAACACCAGUGGCGAAGGCGACCACCUGGACUGAUACUGACACUGAGGUGCGAAAGCGUGGGGAGCAAACAGGAUUAGAUACCCUAGUAGUCC